Rattus norvegicus (Norway rat) is the source of this 802-nucleotide non-coding RNA. Lineage: Eukaryota; Metazoa; Chordata; Mammalia; Rodentia; Muridae. The record is from RefSeq and is a predicted model, not a curated record.
CUAGACAGUAGGUGGGUAUUUUUCAGACUCCAGAGGGACUGCAGGACUCAGGAACAGGAGGCCUUGUCUCUCCUCAGGAGGAAGAGCUGAACAUCAGAAGGAGGAAUGGAACCACUAGCAAGAGCCAAUGGCUUCUGUUACUGUGCUUUGUUGGCUCCCAGGGGCUGACUUCAUGAAGAACCACAAACUUGUCUUCUUGUCAUUUGGAAAUCUAAAACCUUGAAGUCAAGCUUGAAGCGUCCGGAGGUCUGAGGCAUCCUCACUGAGAACACAUGAUGCACUGGCUACCUUCAUGUCAAGUUGACACAAGAUAGAUUCAUUUUGAAGAGAAGAAGACAAUCAAUAAAACACCCCCAUCAUCCAUUGUCCUUUGACUGAGCCUGGUGGAAAGCCUCGAAAACAGAAGGAAAGGGAACUGAGCCAUGGACUGCAUCAAAGUAAACUAUCACCAUGCCUACAAAGUAACUUCAAGGAUCAAGAGACUUACAUCACAAAUCAAAACUAGAUAAAGAACUCCGGCAAGCGAAGAGAGCGCAGUUGCGUAGUAGCUCAGUGGCCAAGGACAAGAAAGGGGUAAAGAAGGAAGCCAACAAGGGUGUAACUGUACAAAAGAUACAGGACCGGGGCUUCAGACUGCUGUUGGCUCUUCUAAACUUGGCUUCUUUAUUGGAUCUUGAAAACUACUGUCCUUGGACAAUACACUGACCUUAGUUUCGUGAUUCAGCCAUUAAAGUGUCCUUGAGAGGCCACUUCCUUUCUCUUGGUCCAUAUUUCCUUUCUAAAAUAAAAGGUAUAAAACUGA